UAAUACGUAGGCAGCGAGCGUUGUUCGGAGUUACUGGGCGUAAAGGGUGUGUAGGCGGUUCUUUAAGUUUGGUGUGAAAUCUCCCGGCUCAACCGGGAGGGUGCGCCGAAUACUGAGGGACUCGAGUGCGGGAGAGGAAAGUGGAAUUCCUGGUGUAGCGGUGAAAUGCGUAGAUAUCAGGAGGAACACCUGUGGUGUAGACGGCUUUCUGGACCAUAGCUGACGCUGAGACACGAAAGCGUGGGUAGCAAACAGGAUUAGAUACCCUGGUAGUCCACGCCCUAAACGAUGCAUACUUGGUGUCGGCCAUUCAGUUGGUCGGUGCCGGAGCUAACGCGUUAAGUAUGCCGCCUGGGGAGUACGGUCGCAAGGCU
RNAcentral lists this ribosomal RNA (374 nucleotides) under uncultured bacterium. RNAcentral's name for it is "bacterial SSU rRNA". It matches the Rfam family "Bacterial small subunit ribosomal RNA", at positions 521 to 895 of the family's 1533-position model. The record is from RNAcentral.